CCCAGGUCUGAGUCUGUCUCUCCAGGUGUCUGUGGUAUCUCUGAAGUUCCCUGGCCCUCCUCCCUCCAUCUCCCCCACUCUUCCCAGGGUGUUUUUGUGUUUCUCUGCUGUAGCGCCCUUCGCUGGAGCUGGGCCAUGGGGUGCAGCCCUGCAGGGCCCUGGGGACAAGGGAGGCCUGGCUGGCUGAGGUCUGUGCCCCAGCUGGGCUGCCUGGGACAGGAGUGGCUCUGCAGGGCCAGCAGCAGCUCCCCUUGCCAUGGGAGUGAGUGAGGGUCUCACACUCCUGUGCCAGCAAAGGAGUGAUCAAACUGGGCAAGGACUGAGCUCCAAGGGGAAGAGCUGCUGUACAUUUAUAUAUGAUGCUAUUCUGAAAAUGGCAAAGCCCAGAUCCUGCCUGUAGGAGCAAGUUUCAUCUGUUACAUCAAUGCAGCUGCAGCAACAGCAGAGCCCUGCAAAGCUGGCAGCUGCCAGAAGGAUUUGUUCCAUCCCUGAAUACCUGCACCGCUGCUUCCCCCCGUGCUGCUGUCAGCAGAGGAACAAACAGGUUCACACCUGCUGCAUAGCUGGCCUUGGAGGAAUGCAUGUGCAAAUUUGGCAGGUUAAAUGCUUGAAGGAAUUGCAGAGUCAGGCUCCUGGAAAAUGAGGGCACACACCAAAAAAUCAGCACCUCAGCACAGGAGCAGGUGAGAAGAUCAGGUGCAGAGAGAAGGUUGGGAAGAUGUGUGAACUUGCAGCAGCCUGCACCUGAAACGGGAGCCUUUAUCCACCAGAGCUUUGUGAGCUUGUAAAAACUCCCCCUAGAACAAGCUGAUUCAUGGGGUGAGGGCAGGAGCUGCCUCUGCCACAGCUCCAGGGCAGCCUGGGCACGGGGUGCUGGCAGUGCCAUAGCUCAGGGCACCCAUCUCCUGUCCCUGUGCCCAGCGUGAUGCCUUCGGGAUGGCAAAGCCUUCUGGAAGGCAAGGCCGUGCAGACAAGGACCCUCCACUCAAGGAACUGACCUGCCUCAGAAGAAUAAUCCAUCGCUUGGAGCUGCAUUCACUCUCUUUAGACUGUUUAAGGGUCUCCUGACUGUGUUAAAAUCCAAGAAUUCUGAAUCAAACGUGAACUGUGGCCACAUCCACAUGGCUGAAGAGCUCAUGGGCUUGGCAGUGGUGGCAGGGCUGGAGCUGCCAGCUGGGACCUCACAUGACACAGGGACACGUGCAGUGCUCACCUUGACUUGUUUAUGGCACUGCUGUGUGUUUUCAGUGCAAAGGAUGUUAGUUGCAAGCUGGUAGGCUCAGAUAAGCUGCCAGCCACCUUUCCUGGCCAGUCACAAAAGGUCCUUUGGAAAGGUGUUGCUAAUGUUCAACCACCAAGUGUUUUAAAUAUAAUAUAAAGACAGAUUUCCAGAUAAUAAAAGUAGGUUGACUGAU
Long non-coding RNA from Zonotrichia leucophrys gambelii, 1415 nucleotides. RefSeq lists it as uncharacterized. The record is from RefSeq and is a predicted model, not a curated record. NCBI's taxonomy places the organism in Eukaryota, Metazoa, Chordata, Aves, Passeriformes, Passerellidae. The transcript has 4 exons.